Molecule: non-coding RNA, 4961 nt
Organism: Cricetulus griseus (Chinese hamster)
Lineage: Eukaryota; Metazoa; Chordata; Mammalia; Rodentia; Cricetidae
Source: RefSeq, a predicted model, not a curated record
GGAAAUUGUGGAUUUAUUUUUUUUUAAACGCACACUGCUUUUUUUUUUCUUUCUUUCUAGAACUGUCCAUUGUUCUUUCUGUUCCCAUAUAUCGCGCUGCGCUGCAGGGAUGGUGGUUUUCUUAGUUUGCAUCAAUUAACUGUUUGCCUGACAGAUCUUUAUUGCGGGUCAUUUGACCAAGGAACAUUAGUCUCAGACUAGCCAUGGUGUUGCCCGUGGUGAUACCACCUGGGACAGAUUAAGACAUCUUGGCAUUUAAACGAACAAGAUGGCCUACCGAAGCCAGCGUGAGAAAAUGGUUACCUUUUCAUCAGUCUAAGCCUUUCCGAAUUCUCUUGAUUCCUACUUUAUUGUUUCAUUAAGGAUUCCAAGAGGCAAACCCCACUGAGAUGGAGAGGAAGACUGGAGCUAGGGUUGCUGGGAAGAAGAUGGCGAAGCACCAAGUUCAUAGUACACCCCCCUCCCCCUCCCUCCACCCCAGCCUUGAUAGUCCUUUGAUUGCAGAUUGUCUUUCAAAUCAUCUAUUUCCCAGCCUGUGGCCCUUCAGAUUUUUUUGAGGGGGGGAGGGCUGGUUUACCUCCACUAUUUAAAAUAGGACUGACUGUCCAUAUCAGAUGCUCAGAUGCCUGAUGCUCUAUUUUUGCUAUGGUGGGUUGUGUUUGAAAGGAUUUCAUGCUAAAGGGUUUCCAGUAUGUCCUGGUGGAAUAACACGUGGCAGAAAACGGCAAUCCUCCCCUCCUCCCCUUUGUUCUUUAAAGAACCAAAGAUACCUUCAAAUAUUGACCGAGUUUACUAUAUCACAGCUUUUAACUGGUAGGGUGUCUGGCUGACUCAUAAGUGGCAAGGGUUUUAUCCUCUUAUCCUUAGCAAUGAGUUUUAUGUAUUUAGAGUUCUCUAUCAUUCUGUAUGAAUUAUGAAUUGAGUAGUAUAAUUUAGAGGGCUAUCUGUACUUAAAUAAAGUCCCCCCCCAGGUAGUGUUUUUGGAGGACAGUGCUGGAAUAUAUUCUAAAAUCAAUAGCUUUCAAGUCAGUGAGUUUUAGAUUUUUAAACAAAAUAAUUUUAAAAUCAAUUAAAAAUAUUAUGUUAUUUGUUUUUUCUUUAGCCAGCUUUUUUUGCCAAGCAUUAGUAGAUGGAGAAGGGAACUCUUUAAGAUCCUGAUAUGCUGCACCAGGAGUUGACUAUAUUGACUGUCUGGACAGAGGCAUUUAUGUUCCUUAACUGGUGUUCAAGCUGUCCGUGGCUUAUGAAACGGAUCUUCCUCCAUUACCCUAAUUUAAAUGUUAAGUAGAAGAGUCCCCAGCUUUAGGUUCCCUGUGCUUGGAGGCCUCUUUAUAAUCCUCCAGGAUUUUUCAGAGCAAAUCACAUUAUGGUUUUAAAUGUACUAAUUACGUUUUCUUUAUUUUUAUUUCCCUUUAACAUCAAGCCAUUUGCAUUUCAUGGUUAAGAUAAAUGGUGCAUGAAGUCAGAGAAAAGCUUACCUUUUGGGAAUAUUAUUCAUUGUAAAAUAGAUGUCUGUGCUAUGCGUGCUAGUUCUGUAAAACAUUGCACAUGAGAAUCAUUCUUCAAACAACUCAAGUAGCAUGUGUAUACACAUGCACACAUAAAUGUAUACAUGUAUGUUUACAUGUAUACCCUAUGCUAUCUUAUUAAUGACAAUACUAAAUGGGUUGGUGUAGAAUGUUAUUUUGCAGUGGUUUUAUAUUAGUCUUUGGAAAACAAUUGAUUUCUGUCUUUAUAAAUACACAUUUGAAAGGGGAAGUCAUAGUAGACUACAAACACACUCCUUACCAAUACUUCUAAAAUGGUUUGCAUUGGGUUUAGCUAAGAUGUUCAUUUGCAGGCCUCAAACUCACUUUCACGAUCAUUAGACUGUAAAGGCUGGAACAAACACCACCAAAUAAAGGAUUUAAUACAGAUUUUUUUGGUCUUAUUUUUGUGAUCUCUUACAAAAUUUUGUUUUCAAAAGCUGUCCAAAAAAGUCCUGAGAACUACGUCAAAGCAGGUGCUCUGGUAUCUGGGUCUUUGGAUUUGCAUAGGCCUUUGCUGGUGGGGGCAGCUUUCACCAUGAUGGUCUUAGCUGGUAGCUUAGGUAGCUGCUGAAGAUAGCCUGCAAGGGCACGGACAAGUUGGCCUUCUCCAGGACAGGCACCGUCUCAACUUUUCUCUCAACUCAGUCCUUUCCAACUCAUUCUGUUCCCAACACUUGAGCAAAUCCGGGGAGCAUGGGAUUUACUCUUUGAAACCACAGAGUUGCCAACAGGCAGAAUUGCUUUACAGAUAAAAGUAUGUGUCUUGGGGAAAAUUUGCAGGGAGGUUUCCCCAGAGUUUAAUGGAAAGAAACUGGGUGUGGGAGGGUCUUCAGACAGUGGCUUGUCUACUGGAGACAAAUGACGUCACAUCUUGAUGAAUUCUCCUUUUUUUUUUUCUUUCAGUUGUGGAAUAGAGAUAGUAAUGUCCAUUUUCAAGUUACAAUAAGGAUUGCACAAGUUCAUUAAUGGCUAAGAAUAGUGACUGGCUCUAGAGGGUUCCUUAAUCUAUCUGUGAUGUUUGAUGUAGUAAAUGGAACUGACAUUAUUCACCAGUUUCUACCAUGUUGAGACGAAUUUCUGAUGCAGGCUGGCAGAUGAAUACUUGAGUACUUAGUGAUAUUCAACCAGAAACAGCCCAUCUCAAUUUGAAAGGGUCAGAAAUUUCAUAUGUAAAUACCAUACAUAUGUGAUAUAUACAUAUGAGUGAUAUAUGUAUGUAAUUCUGUGGGCACUGUGUGUAUUUUCUCCAAAGUGGGUUGCAUGGUCUCAGCCCGGCCCCUUUGAUCCCAGAGCUGCUUAUGAAAACCAAGAAGGCCAUUUAGGUUAUUUUGAGAAACUACAUAAACCCCUCUCGUGUCCCAAAACCACAGCCAUAGCUAGUCUUCCAAAGGAGAACUGCUGUUACCUGUCAAUCCUUCUGUAGCUAGAAAGACAGAUGUGCAGAUAAAUGUCACAUGAGAAGGUUGUAUGGUGAAUCUUUUGAGAGCAAAUAGAAUCAUAUCAUGUUCUCACGAGGGUGCAGGUCAAUUUUAAUUCUGAGGAGACACCAAUGUAGGAAACAGAAGGUGUCAAACAGCAUUCUCCCUUUCCCUCUGGAAGUUAGGCAUGGGAUGAAGUAAGAGGCAGAGAGAGCCCAGUAGUGGGUUUUCCCUCUGUGCCCAAGAGGAUUCAGGUACCAAUCCAAGGAAACACAUAGAGAAGUCUGAGCAGUGUAGGCACUUGGUGCAUACAGGGCAUGACUGAGUGGAGUGUGGGAAGGCAUUCCUGCAAGCUUUGGAAAUUUGGAAAGAGAACCUAUUUGUGAGCACAACAGGAGACUCGAACACCAGGAAAUACUUCAGGAUGACAUAGGAAUGUGGGGUAGAGUGGAGAAGGCAAAACCUUUGUGUGGUGUUUUCUCCUUGUCACUUAAAAGCACUUUAUGAACUUUGAAUUAAUAAAAGUUCAGUUUGGAUGAGAGAGGAGAGGACCUGUGCUUCAGUAGCUUUAAAAAGACCUUUCUCUGAAAUACAGAUUUCGGCAUUAGUUUGGGCAUUGUGUAUGGGAUAUGGUAUCUAGAGAAUAUGAUUUCUAUAGGUUGGUGUGGCUGGGGUUGUGGUCACCUGCAUAGAAUCCUGUCUCAGGUGCCUUAGGCCUUGCUACUUAGGUGAACUUUAGCAAAAUACUUAGCUUCAGUGUGCCUAACUUGGAAGUAGAGAAUGGAAUACAGGGUUAUUGUAAGGAUGAGAGGAAGUUAUCAAGUUAGGAUGAUGGUGCAUCCAACUUCAGCAUGUCUUUUGAGUCCCCAUUCACUCUAAAGUGGCGGACACACCCAUUUCCUUUACAUCAUCGUCUAUGUCGAUAGCUAGUCACAUGCUUCUACAAACGAGGUCAGUGUUACAAGCCAGACCCCUGAGGAUGCCUUGGGAAGUCUUUGGAAGAACUUAGAAAUCAAUGACUAAAAAACCAGACAGACAAACAAAAAACAAAACCAAAAAUUCAUAGCUAUAGUUCCUUGAGUAUGCCAUUAGAACACUUCCUAGUUCCAGGAUGAUGUUACAUUGUGAUGAAGCAUGUCAUAAUUGAAUUUUAAUCCCCUCAGACUAAUUGUAAUAUGUAUUUCACCUGUAAAUAAAUGGAAAGUAGAGAUUUAAAUGGUGUGUCUAAGAUCUGUGGUUUUCAGCCCUGGUUCAUUCACCAGGGCUAAUUGGCCAUUUUAUUUUAUGUAAUACAGACUCUUAGAGCUAAGUAAUUCUUAACAUGCGAACACCCUCAAUAUUCCCCUAAAGUGAGUGAGACUAAAUUUCUCAAUGAAAAGAAAUCUACUGAACAGUUUACAUAUUCAAGCUGAGAUACAGGUAGGGCCUAUUGAUUAGAAGUGCCUUUGUCAUCGUGUGUGUAGGGGUUGAUGUCCUACACAUAUCAGUGAUGAUGAUGGUUGCUGUUAUUCAGGCUUUCAAUAAGUGUGGAUUCACCUGAAGGCUCCCUUGCCUUCUUCUACCUCACAGGUUGAAGCAAUAUCUCAAAUAUCUUAUCUGGAACUUGGCUCUGGAGAUGUGGAUGGAGUAAAUGUGAACUCUGUUCCUUCCUGCCGUUCAAUGACCAACCAAUGAAAAGCCUCAUGGAAGGUUUGGUAUCCAUUCAUUGGUGGAUGAACCAAAGAGAGCUUGGCUUUGAAGUCCUCUGCACUGAAGUGUUGGAUGUGCAGGGUAUGGGUGAACUCACCAGACUACAGUGCAGAGCAGGGUAAAGGAUGCCACAGGAGGCUAGCAGUUGAUCUCACUAAGGACAUAGAGACACAACAAGGUCCGUUAACCAGCUUGUAGCAUUCAAGGAAGGUGUAUCUUGGAGAACUCCAAGAUGGGAGGCAAGCUGAGCAAGAAGAAGAAGGGCUACAAUGUGAACGACGAGAAAGCCAAGGACAAAGACAAGAAGGCUGAAGGCGCGGGCACC